GCACUGCUGAGGAGUCCCAUACCAGGACGGAACGGCCGUCGAGUGC
Schistosoma margrebowiei is the source of this 46-nucleotide non-coding RNA. The record is from Rfam. Lineage: Eukaryota; Metazoa; Platyhelminthes; Trematoda; Strigeidida; Schistosomatidae.